This 253-nucleotide ribosomal RNA is filed under the name uncultured bacterium. RNAcentral's name for it is "partial 16S ribosomal RNA". It matches the Rfam family "Bacterial small subunit ribosomal RNA", at positions 524 to 776 of the family's 1533-position model. The record is from RNAcentral.
CACGUAGGGACCAAGCGUUGUCCGGAUUCAUUGGGCGUAAAGAGCUCGUAGGCGGCUGUCCACGUCGGGUGUGAAAGCUCAGGGCUCAACCCUGAGAUGCCAUUCGAUACGGGACGGCUAGAGGUAGGUAGGGGAGAUUGGAAUUCCUGGUGUAGCGGUGAAAUGCGCAGAUAUCAGGAGGAACACCGGUGGCGAAGGCGGAUCUCUGGGCCUUACCUGACGCUGAGGAGCGAAAGCUGGGGGAGCAAACAGG